RNAcentral lists this ribosomal RNA (186 nucleotides) under uncultured soil bacterium. Its description in RNAcentral is "partial 16S ribosomal RNA". It matches the Rfam family "Bacterial small subunit ribosomal RNA", at positions 26 to 213 of the family's 1533-position model. The record is from RNAcentral.
AGGACGAACGCUGGCGGCGUGCUUAACACAUGCAAGUCGAGCGGUAAGGCCUUUCGGGGUACACGAGCGGCGAACGGGUGAGUAACACGUGGGUGAUCUGCCCUGCACUCUGGGAUAAGCCUGGGAAACUGGGUCUAAUACCGGAUAUGACCUGCUCUCGCAGUGGGGGUGGGUGGAAAGAUUUAU